UAAAUGGCUGUGAAGAGGCCCAGUAGAUUCUGACACACUUCCAGAGAGGGGGCGGAUGGUGGGACGUCCCUGUGUCACUCAGGAUUGAACCUUCCUCGGAGCUGUGCAUGAGGCAGCAGGAGAUGAAGCAGAUGAUUGAUGUAAAGUUUCCUCUGCGAAAGUGCAACGUAUUCCGGCGUUAACGGAGCGAGAGAGAACCGGCACGUCCGGUUAAUCAGGGUGGUACCGCCGAUAGUGCAGACUGUUCGGUCCCUAUG
This 257-nucleotide non-coding RNA is filed under the name Clostridium sp. RNAcentral describes it as "T-box sequence". It matches the Rfam family "T-box leader". Rfam says of the family: Uncharged tRNA acts as the effector for transcription antitermination of genes in the T-box leader family. T-boxes are found upstream of many aminoacyl-tRNA synthetase genes and some amino acid biosynthetic genes usually in Gram-positive bacteria. Lineage: Bacteria; Bacillati; Bacillota; Clostridia; Eubacteriales; Clostridiaceae. The record is from RNAcentral.